RNAcentral lists this ribosomal RNA (253 nucleotides) under uncultured bacterium. Its description in RNAcentral is "partial 16S ribosomal RNA". It matches the Rfam family "Bacterial small subunit ribosomal RNA", at positions 524 to 776 of the family's 1533-position model. The record is from RNAcentral.
UACGUAUGGUGCAAGCGUUAUCCGGAUUUACUGGGUGUAAAGGGAGCGCAGGCGGCACGGCAAGCCUGAAGUGAAAGCCCGCGGCCCAACCGCGGGACUGCAUUGGGAACUACCGGGCUGGAGUGCCGGAGAGGUAGGCGGAAUUCCUAGUGUAGCGGUGAAAUGCGUAGAUAUUAGGAGGAACACCAGUGGCGAAGGCGGCCUACUGGACGGUGACUGACGCUGAGGCUCGAAAGCGUGGGGAGCAAACAGG